GCACACGGUGGUGCAGUGGUUAACACUCUCGCCUCACAGCAAGAAGGUUGUGGGUUUGAACCCCGGCCUGGGGCC
Molecule: non-coding RNA, 75 nt
Organism: Gymnothorax javanicus (giant moray)
Lineage: Eukaryota; Metazoa; Chordata; Actinopteri; Anguilliformes; Muraenidae
Source: the annotation of a GenBank genome assembly